RNAcentral lists this ribosomal RNA (505 nucleotides) under uncultured bacterium. RNAcentral's name for it is "partial 16S ribosomal RNA". It matches the Rfam family "Bacterial small subunit ribosomal RNA", at positions 28 to 507 of the family's 1533-position model. The record is from RNAcentral.
GACGAACGCUGGCGGCGUGCCUAAUACAUGCAAGUAGAACGCACAGUUUAUACCGUAGCUUGCUACACCAUAGACUGUGAGUUGCGAACGGGUGAGUAACGCGUAGGUAACCUGCCUGGGAGCGGGGGAUAACUAUUGGAAACGAUAGCUAAUACCGCAUAAUAUUAAUUAUUGCAUGAUAAUUGAUUGAAAGAUGCAAUUGCAUCACUACCAGAUGGACCUGCGUUGUAUUAGCUAGUAGGUGAGGUAACGGCUCACCUAGGCGACGAUACAUAGCCGACCUUAGAGGGUGAUCGGCCACACCGGGAACGGGACACGGCCCAGAAUCCUACGGGAGGCAGCAGUAGGGAAUCUUCGGCAAUGGACGAAAGUCUGACCGAGCAAAGCCGGGGGAGGGAAGAAGGUUUUCGGAUCGUAAAGCUCUGUUGUAAGAGAAGAACGGGUGUGAGAGUGGAAAGUUCACACUGUGACGGUAUCUUACCAGAAAGGGACGGCUAACUACGUG